Molecule: ribosomal RNA, 256 nt
Filed under: uncultured bacterium
Lineage: Bacteria
Description: partial 16S ribosomal RNA
Rfam family: Bacterial small subunit ribosomal RNA
Source: RNAcentral
UACAGAGGGUGCGAGCGUUGUUCGGAAUUAUUGGGCGUAAAGGGCGCGUAGGCGGUGCGGUAAGUCACCUGUGAAAUCUCCUGGCUCAACUGGGAGCUUGCAGGCGAAACUGCCGUGCUGGAGUGUGGGAGAGGUGCGUGGAAUUCCCGGUGUAGCGGUGAAAUGCGUAGAUAUCGGGGAGGAACACCUGUGGCGAAAGCGGCGCACUGGACCACAACUGACGCUGAGGCGCGAAAAGCUAGGGGGAGCAAACAGG